Molecule: long non-coding RNA, 881 nt
Organism: Hippocampus zosterae (dwarf seahorse)
Lineage: Eukaryota; Metazoa; Chordata; Actinopteri; Syngnathiformes; Syngnathidae
Exons: 2
Source: RefSeq, a predicted model, not a curated record
AGAACGCUACUGCAAACUUGCCGUCAGCCUUUAUUGCCGAGGAGUAAUCCUCGACAGCUUCGUCAAACUCCACCCGAAAGUAUUUUAUUUGGCCGCGGUUGUUGUAAGCAGUCGCCAAACGAGAGCCUUCACCCUCCCUGUAAAAACAAGGAAGCUGGAGCUUAUCCCACCUGACUCACUUUCACACCAUCACUGAGUGGAAACUGAAUCCACACUCCCUGCAUGGACGUCACGCAAGUGACCCGCUGCACGGUCAGUAAACUUGUUCAGUUUAGUUUCUAAAUAUCCAUUUUCUGACAGCUGAAACUGGGGACCAUUUGGGUUGCAGGCGAGUAGGAGCCCACCCCAGCUCACUUUGUCCAAAAUGCAGACCACACUCUAGACUGGUUGCCAGUGAAUCAUUCAGGGACAUCUAGACAAAGAACUAUUCAAGUUUAGUUUGGUUUUUAUUGCAGUUGUGAGACAUUCUCCAACAAUUUUCAUAGUGAAGGACACUGUCAGGAGGAAAGUGGUACCUCAACCAUGCAGAGGUCAUGCAUGCGUGCCCUUUUUGUGCCUCAUUUAUCCCCACACUGUGUCAAACCCAAAUAGCCACGUUUAACUCUGUCCUGGAAGGUUUUCCAUGUUUAUUUUUAUGUGAAAAGGGCAAUAAUGUGCUAAACGCAUGCAUGUAGGUGGAUCCACAUAUUCAUAAAGUAGUAUUUUAUCAUUAUUAUUUUUUGUUAAUCCUUGCUUAGUUGCAAUAGCAACAUUUGGAGCCCAUACAAUGAAAGAGGAACUACUGUAUUUGAUUUUGCCGUAAUUCGUGUUUGCACCAAAAUACCAUUCAAAAUGUAUUCAAACUAAUUCAAAGUGGAAUAAACCCUGCUACUCUUUGCUCA